ACAGCCAGAGAGUCAACAGGAACACACAGAGCAGGAAGAGGAUCCUGAGUGGAGCUCCGGCGGGGGGUCCCGUCGGGGCCUCCGCCCUGAGGACAUGGGGGCCAAACGCGGCCAUCUCCUCCACCAGCAGCAGGCAGCACAGGCAGAGCGUGAGGGUGUCCUGGGACACUUCGUAGCCGCGCCACACCUGGCCCGCUCGGAGGCAGGACGCCUUGCUCUGGGCCUCCUGCAGCAGCAGCAGGGGCUGUCCGGCGAGGUCGCUCCCCCCGCCCGCCGCCGCCGCCGCCACGGGCUGGAAGCAGGUCCCGGCGGCGUCCUCCAGGAGGCACACCAGACGCCCGGUGCCCCACCAGAGCAGCCCGGUGAGGGCGAGACGCGCUAGGUGGCGCAGCGACAGCAGGGCGGAGCGCCGUGCCGAGUAGGAGAGGAGGACGACGAAGGAGCCGGCCACGCAGAAGGUCCAUCCCCACGCCGACACCAGGAACUUCCUGCCGGACAGAGGAAGUGGUUCCUGUUGGCGAAGAUGCUGUAGCUGGACGUCCAGAGGCUCAGCAGCGGGCCGAACAGAACCAGCGCGUUGAGCGGCAGGUGGAAGUGACCCGCCGGGCCGCUGCCCACCACCGCGGCCAGGAGGUUGGUGAAGAGCACCAGGCCGGCAUUCAGUAUCCUCCCCAGGAACCUAGCAGGCAGCGCCACUUCCGAGGCCACUUUGUACAAUUUACCCAAGUUGACGUCCGGCCAGGAGCCAUCAUUUGAUGAAGAAACGGCCUUCAUCUCGAGUGGGACCUUGUUGUUGAGCUUCUACGGUGGGGGAGGAUUUCUCCGUGUGGACUAGUGGGUGACUGCCCAGACCCCGUCUGUUCCUGUUGAAUCACCCUGGCACCCUGACCCACGGCACAUGCUGGGUAAAAAUAACCCCCGUCUCUCCACAGCCCCCCUAUAAAUAGCCCUCUCAUUCCUUAGAGGAAGCUUUAGUUCAGAAGUAUGUCCAUGUAUCAAAGCCAGAGGAUCAGUGACACAUACAUGUAUUACAGCCAGCCCAAGGAUCUGUAACACAUACAUGUAUUACAGCCCAAGGAUCUGUAACGCAUACAUGUAUUACAUGAUCUGUAACAGAAUACCUGUAUUACAGUCAAUGGUUCAGUAGUGCAUAUAGAAAGUAACAUGCGGGAUGUAAUGUAAGACAAGAUAAAUAUUAUAUAUGCUACACAUAAAUAUAGCCAGAGUUUUUUUAUUCAAAGUCUUGAGCUUUAUGAAAGGAUAACAAUUAAGAAUAAUUCAGAUAAUAAUUUGCACCUGUUGGUGCAGUAAAGCAUUCCUCUCCCUCACCGACGAGCAUUAACAUGACGUGAACCUGCCAGUUAACAACUACUGAAGUUAAUCAGAAUGAGUCUGGGAACUUUUGAGGUCUUGCUUUGAAUCUAAGGGUAAGAAAUGUGUUUCCUUCACCACCUCCAUGUCCGUCGAGGGGACUUCAUGUGCGGCAAUCGAAUAUAAACAAUGUGUCGAGAAUUAAAUAAUAGUUUUUUGCCUUG
Molecule: long non-coding RNA, 1535 nt
Organism: Gadus morhua (Atlantic cod)
Lineage: Eukaryota; Metazoa; Chordata; Actinopteri; Gadiformes; Gadidae
Exons: 2
Source: RefSeq, a predicted model, not a curated record